UGCGCCUUGCCAGCCCGCUCAGAAACUUAAAGGAAUUGACGGGGCCCGCACAAGCGGAGGAACAUGUGGUUUAAUUCGAUGAUACGCGAGGAACCUUACCUGGGCUAGAACGCAUUCGGAAUCAGGCCGAAAGGCCUGCGCCAGCGAUGGCCGCUUGCGAGGUGCUGCAUGGUUGUCGUCAGCUCGUGCCGUGAGGUGUCGGGUUAAGUCCCAUAACGAGCGCAACCCCUACUGCUAGUUGCCAGCGGGUCAUGCCGGGGACUCUAGCGGAACUGCCAGCGUAAGCUGCGAGGAAGGUGGGGAUGACGUCAAAUCAGCACGGCCCUUACGUCCAGGGCUACACACGUGUUACAAUGGCCGGUACAGAGGGCAGCCACCCCGCGAGGGGGCGCGAAUCCCGAAAGCCGGUCCCAGUUCGGAUCGGAGUCUGCAACCCGACUCCGUGAAGCUGGAUUCGCUAGUAAUCGCGCAUCAGCCACGGCGCGGUGAAUACGUUCCCGGGCCUU
RNAcentral lists this ribosomal RNA (506 nucleotides) under uncultured Rikenellaceae bacterium. Its description in RNAcentral is "bacterial SSU rRNA". It matches the Rfam family "Bacterial small subunit ribosomal RNA", at positions 903 to 1382 of the family's 1533-position model. Lineage: Bacteria; Pseudomonadati; Bacteroidota; Bacteroidia; Bacteroidales; Rikenellaceae. The record is from RNAcentral.